GAUGAACGCUGGCGGCGUGCUUAACACAUGCAAGUCGAGCGAGAAGUUUUGAAAAGAUUCUUCGGAUGAAAUUUAAAAUGGAAAGCGGCGGACGGGUGAGUAACGCGUAGGCAACCUGCCCCAUACAAAGGGAUAGCAUUUGGAAACGAAUAUUAAUACCUUAUGAAACUUAACUAGUGCAUGCUAGGUAGGUCAAAGAUUUAUCGGUAUGGGAUGGGCCUGCGUCUGAUUAGCUAGUUGGUGAGGUAACGGCUCACCAAGGCGACGAUCAGUAGCCGACCUGAGAGGGGGAGCGGCCACAUUGGAACUGAGACACGGUCCAAACUCCUACGGGAGGCAGCAGUGGGGAAUAUUGCACAAUGGGGGAAACCCUGAUGCAGCAACGCCGCGUGAACGAUGAAGGCCUUUGGGUCGGAAAGUUCUGUUCUAGGUGAUGAAAACUGACAGUAACCUAGGAGAAAGCCCCGGCUAACUCCGUG
RNAcentral lists this ribosomal RNA (479 nucleotides) under uncultured bacterium. RNAcentral's name for it is "partial 16S ribosomal RNA". It matches the Rfam family "Bacterial small subunit ribosomal RNA", at positions 28 to 507 of the family's 1533-position model. The record is from RNAcentral.